This 556-nucleotide ribosomal RNA is filed under the name uncultured Lactobacillus sp. RNAcentral describes it as "bacterial SSU rRNA". It matches the Rfam family "Bacterial small subunit ribosomal RNA", at positions 35 to 539 of the family's 1533-position model. The record is from RNAcentral. Lineage: Bacteria; Bacillati; Bacillota; Bacilli; Lactobacillales; Lactobacillaceae.
AAACUGCUGGGGAUUGAGUUGGUGCUUGCAUCUUUAAGUCUACAUAUUGNAGUGAGUGGCGAACUAGGGGAGUAGACACGUGGGAAACCUAGCUCGCAGAAGGCGGGGGAGUAACACCGUGUGAAACAGGAUGCUAAUACCUGCAGUAACAACGUUGGACCGCAUGGUCCGAGGCUUGAAAGAUGGCUUCGGCUAUCACUUAUGUGGAUGGUCCCGCGGCGUAUUAGCUAGAGUGGUGAGGGUAACGGCUCACCAUGGACAAGUGAUACGUAGACCGACCUGAGAGGGUAAUCGGCCACAUUGGGACUGAGACACGGCCAAACUCCUACGGGAGGCAGNCAGUAGGGAAUCUUCCACAAUGGACGAAAGUCUGAUGGAGCAACGCCGCCGAUGAGUGAAGAAGGGUUUCGGCUCGUAAAACUCUGUUUGUUAAAGACAGAACAUAAUCUGAGAGUAACUGUUCAGGUAUUGACGGUAUUNAACCAGAAAGCCAACGGGNUAACUACNUGCCAGACAGCACAGCAGGUAAUACGUAGAGUGGCAAGCGUAUGUCCGG